Long non-coding RNA from Psammomys obesus (fat sand rat), 507 nucleotides. RefSeq lists it as uncharacterized. The record is from RefSeq and is a predicted model, not a curated record. The transcript has 3 exons. Lineage: Eukaryota; Metazoa; Chordata; Mammalia; Rodentia; Muridae.
UAACCAUUGCCUCCAAUGCUAAGUCCUCGGCCUACUCAGUGCCUCCGUUUAAUAGGUGAGCGCUAAGAUCCAUGGGACCUGCCCUGUGACUCUGUUCUACACAACUGACCCCCAGGACAGAGAUGAAGAGAUGUGGAGAAAGUGGCCUUGAUUCUGAAGGGGAUUUCUCUGAACAUUCCACUACCACCGAGCCUGCUCAGCGCUGUGUCUUACAAGGAAAUGCAGGAACCAAAGAACAGACGUUUUUGCCGAGGUAAAUAAGCCCUCUCAACUGAUGAACGCCAUUAUACUAAUACCAAAGGAAACAAAGGCCAGAAGAUGGCGGCAUUAAGUAGAAAGGCAAACAGAAAAAUAGCAGGCAAAAUCCAGCUUGGGACAAAGCCUGCUCUGCAACAGUGAAAAACAGGACAAAAUCCUUUAAGAGAAAAUUGCAUGCAAUUUUUUGGACUCAAUUAGCCUUUUCCACAAAGAGCACUUUCCCACAAAGAGCCCAUUAAAUAGCAAAUG